CGGAGAGUUUGAUCCUGGCUCAGAUUGAACGCUGGCGGCAGGCCUAACACAUGCAAGUCGAGCGGUAGAGAGAAGCUUGCUUCUCUUGAGAGCGGCGGACGGGUGAGUAAUGCCUAGGAAUCUGCCUGGUAGUGGGGGAUAACGUCCGGAAACGGACGCUAAUACCGCAUACGUCCUACGGGAGAAAGCAGGGGACCUUCGGGCCUUGCGCUAUCAGAUGAGCCUAGGUCGGAUUAGCUAGUUGGUGGGGUAAUGGCUCACCAAGGCGACGAUCCGUAACUGGUCUGAGAGGAUGAUCAGUCACACUGGAACUGAGACACGGUCCAGACUCCUACGGGAGGCAGCAGUGGGGAAUAUUGGACAAUGGGCGAAAGCCUGAUCCAGCCAUGCCGCGUGUGUGAAGAAGGUCUUCGGAUUGUAAAGCACUUUAAGUUGGGAGGAAGGGCAGUAAAUUAAUACUUUGCUGUUUUGACGUUACCGACAGAAUAAGCACCGGCUAACUCUGUGCCAGCAGCCGCGGUAAUACAGAGGGUGCAAGCGUUAAUCGGAAUUACUGGGCGUAAAGCGCGCGUUAGGUGUUCGUUAAGUUGGAUGUGAAAUCCCCGGGCUCAACCUGGGAACUGCAUUCAAAAC
Molecule: ribosomal RNA, 633 nt
Filed under: uncultured bacterium
Lineage: Bacteria
Description: bacterial SSU rRNA
Rfam family: Bacterial small subunit ribosomal RNA
Source: RNAcentral